Molecule: ribosomal RNA, 253 nt
Filed under: uncultured bacterium
Lineage: Bacteria
Description: partial 16S ribosomal RNA
Rfam family: Bacterial small subunit ribosomal RNA
Source: RNAcentral
UACGAAGGGGGCUAGCGUUGUUCGGAAUUACUGGGCGUAAAGGGCGCGUAGGCGGCCUGUUUAGUCAGAAGUGAAAGCCCCGGGCUCAACCUGGGAAUAGCUUUUGAUACUGGCAGGCUUGAGUUCCGGAGAGGAUGGUGGAAUUCCCAGUGUAGAGGUGAAAUUCGUAGAUAUUGGGAAGAACACCGGUGGCGAAGGCGGCCAUCUGGACGGACACUGACGCUGAGGCGCGAAAGCGUGGGUAGCAAACAGG